AGCUCGGGUAAUUUAAUAAAAAUUCAUAAUUUGUAAUUAUGAUAUGCCUAAUUUUUGUGCUCCGGGCUU
RNAcentral lists this transfer RNA (69 nucleotides) under Liposcelis decolor. RNAcentral describes it as "tRNA-Thr". The record is from RNAcentral. Lineage: Eukaryota; Metazoa; Arthropoda; Insecta; Psocodea; Liposcelididae.